Molecule: long non-coding RNA, 364 nt
Organism: Bombus huntii
Lineage: Eukaryota; Metazoa; Arthropoda; Insecta; Hymenoptera; Apidae
Exons: 3
Source: RefSeq, a predicted model, not a curated record
AAACUGUUCAGUUAACGGUCUGGUAUGGAAGAAGAUAUGACGCGUGCCAAAAUCCCAUCGGGCAAUUGAACAAAAUGGCGGAGAAGAAUCGUUAGAAUAAUCAUCGCUGUUCAAAGUAACGGCAUUUCUGAUGACGACAAUGUGCAAAUCCAGGGGUGAGACAGAACGGUUCAACAUGGAGAAAGAGAGCGUUCGUCCGUCGGUGAGAUGGAAGAAUGGGUGGUGGCAGUGGCCAAGGGGGUGGUAUAGAAAGAGAGGGUGCGUAAGUUGGAAAACGCCUGACGAAAGCCUGCAGACAGCAGUAGAAGAAUGGCCGAUACCGUUAGAAGGGAAACCCAGGAAGAAGGAAGAAAAUAGAAGAGGG